GCGUUGUUAGUGAACUUUAAAAUCUUGUUCUGAGCCAUCCACUGUUAAUUCAAAAAUAUCUUUGACAUAUAUAUCCUUUUUAUGAUAUAAACAUAGCAUUGGAACCAAAAAUUUAGUCGGAAAAAAAAUAUGUUGUGCCACUCAUAUCAUAGGAUUUGCCUGAUAUUUACUUGGACAGCUUCUUAAACGUUAAUACACUACAACAAAAUACUGUAACUAACUUUUUG
Molecule: long non-coding RNA, 227 nt
Filed under: Mytilus galloprovincialis (Mediterranean mussel)
Lineage: Eukaryota; Metazoa; Mollusca; Bivalvia; Mytilida; Mytilidae
Source: RNAcentral